UAACGUCGUGCAUGAAACAAGUCAAUGGCGCACGUGAAGAGAGAGGAGUAACGUUGUGCAUGAAACAAGUCACUGCCACGCUUGAAGAGAGAGGAGUAAGGCCGUGCAUGAAACAAGUCACUGCCGUGCAUGAAGAAAGACUGCUACCUGUUGACUGCAUGCUACCAUGUGAGCCAAUUGUCAACUUGCAUUGCCAUUAAAAGGCC
This 206-nucleotide long non-coding RNA is filed under the name Amborella trichopoda. Its description in RNAcentral is "long non-coding RNA (ATRI_LNC003229)". The record is from RNAcentral. Lineage: Eukaryota; Viridiplantae; Streptophyta; Magnoliopsida; Amborellales; Amborellaceae.